AACACAACCUGCUGCGUAUGCAGGCAGCCCUUGGACCCUCAAGUCACCCCCCCAGGGACUUACAAAGCAGAGGGAAACCAACGCCUACAGGCUGACGCGAGUGCUUCCUGCGGUGCCUCGGAGAACAUCUUGGCACACACAUCCCUCCAAAUUUAUUUUCGUUUUCAAGCAUAUGCGAGCAGCCCCUGCAGCAGGCACGACAACUUCUAUCAACAUUUGGUUCUCAUCUUCCUCCAGACCCACUGAUGGACCAGGCGUCUCCAUCCCCAUAAAAUGAGGCAUCACUCCGUGACUUGCUUUGGCCAAAGAAACGUGGUGGGAAGCCAUGUGUGCACAUGUGAUCCCUGAUGCUCGUCUGUCCAGCUCUUCGCUUGGGUCCCACGGUGACAAUGGGAGUAAGUGUUGACAUAAAGGGGCUGAAGGGUUCAGGCAGCUUGGAAUGCUGAACCAUCACAGAGAGGAGCGAUGGGCUGCGCAGCCACUGGAGCCACAGCAGAGUUUGCACAAGCAGGAAAGAAAGUCCCGCCGCGUGGAGACACUGGGACCUGAAGCUGUGUCUCAUGCGCAUGAGCUGCGCCCGCCUGUCCUGACUGGUGGAGCCCUCUUCACUGAACCAGAGCCUGAGUUCACCCCGACCCUAAACAGGCGUCUGAAAUUAUACUGGCUUGAGAAAGCAGGAGUGUUUGAAAAUGUCCCAUUUGAAAAACUAACAACCCACCAUAAAAUAGGAAGCAAAACAAAACAAGAAUUUACACAAGCAAACCAUUUUUGUGAGAUUGCAUUCUUUUGUUGAUAUGUUUCAAUCACUUCCAGAUGCAUCAAUCCAUUGUAAUUCAGAAGGGUUUUUUUAUUCCCUUGCCGCGCAUCUGGGCAGAAUGGAAAACAAAUUUGCGUAAGUGGUGGAAAUACGUCAUCUACAACAGAAGAACUGACCCCUGGUGGAUUAAAAUUCUUCUUUGAGCAGCUUCAGUUCUUGAUCCUUUUCUUUUGCAUGAUGUUAGCUCCGCAUGUCCCUGUGCCACUGGAAAUUUCUUUGUAGUUAUGAUUUAUUUCCCAACCACCUUGAGAGUUCCUUCUGUGAGCAGCUUCUCGUAACUUGCGUCUAAAAUAGGAAUUCUUGGCUCACGGUCCAUGUAAUACUGGGGUGUGUGUAUCAGUGAAUCACACGCAAUUUAGGCAAAUUAUUCAUGUGCGUACUUUACAAUUUUUUCUGGGAAAAGGGUUUGUUACCUUUCAUCAGAUUCUUAAAGGUAUAGGUGACUCAGUAAAGGGUCCCUUUAAAGACAAAGUCAAUUUCCUCUGCUAGCCAGACUUUUGUCUCACAUUUCGUCAACCACAUCCUGUUCUUUUUCUUAUAAUUGCUUCUCCUUUUCUUUCCUCUUUCUUAGAACACUCGAACUGAAAGAAUGUCUUGAAGAGGGCGGGAUGAAUAAUUUUCACAAGUAGAUGGGAGGUAGUUGCUACUCAGUUCUCAAAGCUUGUGGCUGAUGACCCAGGUCAGCUGUCUGAGCGAGAUACAGUAUUUCACUCUGUGCCAUCACUGUGGAAAGUGCCCAGGGCUCCUUCUGUUCAGAACAACUGUGAUCAGUGACAGCAGAGCACUCCCUUUGGCCAAAGGAGGGGAGAAAUGGAAAGGAGCUGAGCCUUGAGGAGAGAGGAGAAAAAGUCCUUCCUCUGAAUAGCUGUGCUUCCUUUCACAGCUGACUGCCCCCUGUGGGUGGGUGUGGAGUUUUAGAUUUCUCUAUUAAAUCCUGAUGAGGAGCCAGAGAAAGCUUGUUUAACUAAUUACGAGCAAACCCUUCUGGAUACAAAGAGAGAAAAAUUCUGGCAGUCUAGUCAAUAUUAUUGUCUAAAUACGUGUGUGUAAGCCACCCGGGGUCUGCAGGGCACUGGAAAGCAGGAAGCAAGCCAGGCUUGAAAACAGCCGCUGGGGCUGAAGAUGCUCAGCUCACACACGGAUGCUUAGACGGAGCUGGUCCUGGAGGCAUCGCAGAUUUUUAAUGUAAAAAUAUGCUUCAGAACACAAACCAUAGGACAGUUUUGUAGGACAAAAGCCGCAUCUUCACUGAGAAUCAGACUGAAAACCUCUUUUAACAAGCGGUUCUUUAGGAAGCUGGAGAAGCAAGGACACCUAAGAUGGAUAUGAGCACAGUGAUCUGAAUGAAUGCUUCAUUUUUGCUUUUUAUUGUGGUCACUCAACUGGGGCCGAUCCUUUUGUAGUUAUCAUUUUUGUUACAUCUUACGUGGAUUCAUGUUCACUUUUGUUCUUAAAACAAGUCACUAGCUCGAUCUGUAAAAAUGCUGUAAUGCUUUUCCAGUUGCCGUCAGCUUUUUCGUUCACUUUAUCUUUUAUUCCACACUCCUGGAGAAAUAUGUCCGUGGGUCCAGUGAUGAAUUGGUCUCAUGUCUGUAGAGCUGUGCUGAAAAUACCAGUGAUCCGUGCGUGAGUCAGCAAACGGGAAAACCACUAUACCCUGCUGAAUUUGUCAGCAACACAGUGGAAAAACAAGUUCUCUCAAAUAGAUAAAAUAUGAAAUCAGAGAGGUGGUGUCGCCAACAGAAAAGACACUGAGUGAGAAGUUUGGAGACCUGUUUCUAAUAACAAGUCCUGUCAGGGCUUCCGUGUUCUCAUGAACAAGUCAGAAGUGAUUGCUGUCCUUUCCUGAGUCUUAAGUGGAAAUUUGUUGGGAGCUUCUGGAGAAGUUUUGCCUUUUUCUUAUAAAAGAGACAGAUACAGCUGGCGUGGAUUCCUCUCUUCUUUCUACCUUGAAUAUCCGUGUGAUGCCUGGAACUGAAGCAGCCAUUUUGUGGUCAUGAGACAACAAGCCAGCAUGCUAAGAAUGAUGGAAUGGAGAGAAAGCACUUGCCUGGGUCUUUGAUGACAUUGCUGAGCUGUGGGUGGCUUACCCUGAGACUUCUUGUUUAUUUAAGAUGUUUAUAGUUGAGUUUUCUGUUACUUCCAGCUAAAGCAUUCCAAAAUACCCCUGAUACACUGGCUAUGUUAUUACUGGAAUAUUUAACUAAAUUAACAUUAAUCAAAAGGGAAUCUCCAUGUAGUAAUCCACAGUUUCACUUUACUUUUCAAAACUAACUACAUGAUGAAGCAAAAGUUAAGAG
Molecule: long non-coding RNA, 3117 nt
Filed under: Equus caballus (horse)
Lineage: Eukaryota; Metazoa; Chordata; Mammalia; Perissodactyla; Equidae
Description: lncRNA (ENSECAG00000050982.1)
Source: RNAcentral